RNAcentral lists this ribosomal RNA (443 nucleotides) under uncultured bacterium. Its description in RNAcentral is "partial 16S ribosomal RNA". It matches the Rfam family "Bacterial small subunit ribosomal RNA", at positions 338 to 795 of the family's 1533-position model. The record is from RNAcentral.
CCUACGGGGGGCAGCAGUGGGGAAUAUUGGGCACUGGGCGCAAGCCUGACCCAGCAACGCCGCGUGAAGGAAGAAGGCUUUCGGGUUGUAAACUUCUUUUCUCAGGGACGAAGCAAGUGACGGUACCUGCGGAAUAAGCCACGGCUAACUACGUGCCAGCAGCCGCGGUAAUACGGAGGGGGCAAGCGUUAUCCGGAUUUACUGGGUGUAAAGGGCGUGUAGGCGGGAAAGUAAGUCAGAUGUGAAAACCAUGGGCUCAACCGGUGGCCUGCAUUUGAAACUGUUUUUCUUGAGUACUGGGGAGGCAGACGGAAUUCGUAGUGUAGCGGUGAAAUGCGUAGAUAUUAGGAGGAACACCAGUGGCGAAGGCGGUCUGCUGGACAGCAACUGACGCUGAGGCGCGAAAGCGUGGGGAGCAAACAGGAUUAGAUACCCCAGUAGUC